Molecule: ribosomal RNA, 393 nt
Filed under: uncultured bacterium
Lineage: Bacteria
Description: partial 16S ribosomal RNA
Rfam family: Bacterial small subunit ribosomal RNA
Source: RNAcentral
CUACGGAGGAUCCGAGCGUUAUCCGGAUUUAUUGGGUUUAAAGGGUGCGCAGGCGGGAGAUUAAGUCGGCGGUGAAAUUUUGCAGGUCAACUGUAAAAGUGCCUUCGAAACUGGUUUCCUUGAGUGUAGAUGAAGUAGGCGGAAUUUGUGGUGUAGCGGUGAAAUGUAUAGAUAUCACGAGGCACUCCGAUUGCGCAGGCAGCUUACUAAACUACUACUGACGCUCAGGCACGAAGGCGUGGGGAUCAAACAGGAUUAGAUACCCUGGUAGUCCACGCAGUAAACGAUGAUUACUAGCUGUUUGCGAUACAAUGUAAGCGGCUGAGCGAAAGCGUUAAGUAAUCCACCUGGGGAGUAAGUUCGCAAGAAUGAAACUCAAAGGAAUUGACGGGG